CUUGUCUCUCAUGCUCUAGAAAGAUCUCAUCAAAAUCGAUGCCACCGCUUUACCGCUUUAUGCGUCCAUAAAAAGGCCUCCCAAUCCCACCACCGGCCCUGUUUCCUCUCCCGGUGUCGGCCACUUUUUCUCUUCCCCGCGGCCGAGUUGAUGGUGUAUGGAAGACGAGCGGGCGGGCGCGGCGGCGGCCAAUCGGAGCAGCAGCAUGAGACCCUCUGCCCCGACCUCUCCCUUUUUGGGAGACACGCAGGGGCGGCGACCCAGCGACGGCAGCGGCCAGUGCCGUCUCCAGACCUCUCCUAUCAGCAGGACAUCCUCCUGGCCUCCCCACCGCGCCGCCUACCCGUACCCAUCCGUCAAGCAAGAGCAGGCUCUAGGUGAGGUGGAUCGCGGCAGCCUCCUGCUCCUAGCCUGCGACACACUCCGACGAGUGGCUCGGACAAGGGCGCCGUUGCCAAGGCCACCUUUACGAUGGAUCCUCCCACCAUGACGGAGAUGAUGGACCACGACCAUGGCGACGAGUACUAGGACAAUAAACUACUCAGUAUUUUUUCCGAACUUUACCCUGAGUUUUUAUGAACUUUCUGUUUAGCUAUUUAUUCAGAAAUUGAUUUGAAGUGCUCAUAUGUAGAACAACCAGAAUUGUAUGAGUCAAUUUAUGGGACUUCCCCUGUAUAUGCCAAGAAUUUUGGGAUUACAUUUGUGCAGAAUUGGUUUGAUGCAUGUAUCUCACCUUUGUUCUGAUGUUAGCUUUGCUCUACUGCCCUUCCGUGAAUAAUUAGCUGUGCAUGCUUUCGUGUUAUAUUUUUUUAUAUACGAGCAGUGCUCUAUUUUAGAAAUGAUUCACAGUACAUGUUUGAUAUUCAUCCCUAAUUCCUUAUACAAGCUUUCUUUUAACGCAAUGGUUUCAUGCUUGAUUAUAGGUCCUCUCCCAUGCUUACAUCAGAGCUCCAAGAAGGUUGCUUUAGAUGAAAAUUAGGUGGAGAACUGUAAAAGCAAAUUGUUGUAGAUUUAUUCCCAGUUACUGCUUUACAAAUGGAAGGUUUACUGCUGAACAAUAGAAUGGUCAAGGUACUGUUGCGAUAUGGAAAUAUGAUUAUUUAAUCACAUAUUUUUCUUUCAUGAUAUAGGUAUCGCCAGCUGUCCUUACAACCCUGCCGCUGGAAGAUGCAGGCUUGCUAGGAUGUGAGACUGCACCUAGCGGAACUAUUCGGCAAAUUUGCCCAGAUCUGCUUCCUAGAUCAUGCAAUCAAUAUAGGUUUUAUAUAAGCAGGUUUAUGGCAGGGCCAUAUGAUUAUCUCUACUGGACUAAUAAUAGUAAUCACUUCCCUAUAGGUCCUGAAGGAUGCAAGCUGGAGGUGGAUGCAAAAUUUCUACAUUAGACUCAAAUUUCUUGAUGUGGCACUGAUUAUGUAAUCUGGUAUGGAUUCGUAAUGAGGGUGGUACAUGUUUAUUCAGCUCAACAUCAGGGCGCGUGCGCAUGAACGGCCACUUGCGGUAGAUUCUGGUCUCCAGCCUCAGCAUCGAGGUUUCGGUCACGUCCUAGAAGUAGGGGGUGCACCAGCAGCGUGCCAUUUAUGGCCAUCCACAAGCGCCGAAGCCCCCUGGCGGUGGCACGAAGGGUGCCCUUGUGCAUGAUGUUCGCGCCUGAUGUUGUCGGUGAGGAACACGCAGGAUGGGAUGGUGCUAAUUUGAAACAAACAUUUAGGAGACGUGUAGAUGAAUCCUUGUAUGGUAGAUGGCUGGAGCUGCUACGCUUAGUUAGUAACACUUCAGUUUCAGCAAUCUGUGAUAAACCCGUUUGGGUUCUUGAUAAGUCUCGUACCUACUCUGUGCAAUCCUUUUAUAGGAUGAUCAAUUUUGGGGGCGUCCGUAUUGAACUCCAGGAUUACAUUUGGAAGAUUAAAGUGCCGCCCAAUAUUCAUGUUUUCCUGUGGCUUAUUGUCCACAACAUGAGUUUAACCAGAGAUAAUCUAGCCAAGCGUUAAGCAGUCCCUGA
Molecule: long non-coding RNA, 1999 nt
Organism: Triticum aestivum (bread wheat)
Lineage: Eukaryota; Viridiplantae; Streptophyta; Magnoliopsida; Poales; Poaceae
Exons: 2
Source: RefSeq, a predicted model, not a curated record